AGAUGUCAGAGUUACUAAUGGGGAAAAUCCGAAGGCUGCACUAGAUUCUUUUCAUAGCAGCGGAAAGCUUAUUUGUAGCAGAACUGCAGGAUACCAGAUAUUAACCCUGGAAAAAGAUCAGAUAUCGUAGAUGACUUGUGCAUCCUGCUAGCUGAGUGGCAGCCAUUUCCUUUAGACAGACUGAAGAUAAGAACAACACUGGAUAAAUAUAUUAUUAAGGCUGAUCAGGAGAGGAGUAUUUAAUGGCCUUGCAUCUUUUUAUGUGAGUCUUGCAGACGGCUGUACACACAGCUGGCUGAGUUGCAGUCAUUUGAAGAUGGACCCAGCCAAACAGCCCUUGUCCAAGGUCUGUCGGCUCGUGCUUUGUAGCCAGAAGGACCCACGGAGGAAAUCCUGGAUCCCGUGAAGCUUUCAAAGCACCCAACUUCCAUGGGACAUGAGACAGAGCAACAGGUCUCAGGACUUUCAAAAAUACCCUGUUGAAGCCAAAUAGACACUAAACAGAAACAUCGGACACCUAUUUUUACUGAACUCAGACUCGGAGGGGGAAUAUAAAUGCCACCUUUGGGAAUUUAGAACUUUUGAUAAGACUUUUGAGUUGUAUUUUUAUUUGAACGCUUUCUUUACUUUGUAUAACUAUUCAAAAAAACUGGAUUUAAGAAUGAAGUGCCCCUUAUAGCACUUCAGCAGUAAAGAAGGUUUAACAAUGGGGUUACCAACUCUUUGUUCCUGCACAGCUGGACGACUUUUGGCCAUACAGGAAAACUUUAUUCAAGAAGAAAGAAGUGAUCUACUGGCCAAAUGAAAGCUUUUUCCUGCUUCCGUGAAAGGGAGGAUUGGCUGAAUGAACUGUAUCACUGGCUAGCUGAGUGGCAACCAUUUCAUCUUGGACAAUGCUAAA
Ahaetulla prasina is the source of this 901-nucleotide long non-coding RNA. RefSeq lists it as uncharacterized. Lineage: Eukaryota; Metazoa; Chordata; Lepidosauria; Squamata; Colubridae. The transcript is spliced from 3 exons. The record is from RefSeq and is a predicted model, not a curated record.